Molecule: non-coding RNA, 116 nt
Filed under: Paenibacillus macerans
Lineage: Bacteria; Bacillati; Bacillota; Bacilli; Caryophanales; Paenibacillaceae
Description: c-di-GMP sequence
Rfam family: c-di-GMP-I riboswitch aptamer
About the family: GEMM was predicted in a large-scale screen for bacterial structured RNA regulatory elements.
Source: Rfam by way of RNAcentral
CUAAACCAAAGGCAAACUAUUCGAAAGGAUAGGACGCAAAGUUUGGAGUCUAAAGCGUGCGCAAGCCGUGGUGGGAAUUGCGGUGCAAGCUGCGCUAUGAUUGUCCGGCCGCCAUG